This 72-nucleotide transfer RNA is filed under the name bacterium. Its description in RNAcentral is "tRNA-Thr". It matches the Rfam family "tRNA". From Rfam's summary of the family: Transfer RNA (tRNA) molecules are approximately 80 nucleotides in length. Their secondary structure includes four short double-helical elements and three loops (D, anti-codon, and T loops). The record is from RNAcentral.
GCCGGGAUAGCUCAGGGGUAGAGCAGCUGAUUUGUAAUCAGCCGGUCGUCCGUUCAAAUCGGAUUCCCGGCU